Molecule: long non-coding RNA, 356 nt
Filed under: Lathyrus oleraceus (garden pea)
Lineage: Eukaryota; Viridiplantae; Streptophyta; Magnoliopsida; Fabales; Fabaceae
Description: Pisum sativum (pea) long non-coding RNA (PSAT_LNC002838)
Source: RNAcentral
UAGUUUUGGAUCCAACACCCUCUGAGUUGAAAACUUUUUACGGUUGCCGACAACACCGGUUCAAGAGUACAUCGUAAGCUCGACGAAGCUCUCCAUUCUAGCGAACGAGUCAAGUUAUUACCAAGUCCAAAUAGAGUUUCAAAGCCGGGAACAACGAGUCGGUUGCGCCGUAUUGUUGCUGCACCUUUGAUUUCCUACAUAGGUAUUACAAAUAAAGCAUAAGCAUCAAACUUGUUAUAUAUUUUGUACAAUCCAAUGACAUUGUGAUGACCAUUCUCCCGUUACUAUUACAUUAUGUUGGUUUUUGUUUUUGUAUGGCGUCGUUUGAAUUUGAUGAUGUUGUGGAUUGUUUCCUU